Molecule: ribosomal RNA, 301 nt
Filed under: uncultured bacterium
Lineage: Bacteria
Description: partial 16S ribosomal RNA
Rfam family: Bacterial small subunit ribosomal RNA
Source: RNAcentral
CAGUCGCCACGGGAAAACGUAGGGUGCAGGCGUUGUCCGGAAUUAUUGGGCGUAAAGAGCUCGUAGGCGGUCUGUCGCGUCGAAUGUGAAAACCCGUGGCUCAACCCCGGGCCUGCAUUCGAUACGGGCAGACUAGAGUUCGGUAGGGGAGUCUGGAAUUCCUGGUGUAGCGGUGAAAUGCGCAGAUAUCAGGAGGAACACCGGUGGCGAAGGCGGGACUCUGGGCCGAUACUGACGCUGAGGAGCGAAAGCGUGGGGAGCAAACAGGAUUAGAUACCCCUGUAGUCCCUGUCUCUUAUAC